CCCGAACGAAAUAAUCAAAACAUUUACAUGUGAAAGCGCUAUUAAAUCUUACAGUAAGACAAAAAGGACCGAAAAGAAGAAAGCUAUUUCAUUUGAUUUCAUAGGGUUUUGUGGAUGAGCAUUAUUCUUCAAGAAGAAGCACCAUAAUUGAUGCUGAAAAGAAAAGACGUAAACAAAUUAACAAACAUCAACAUGUUUAUGAUGCUAUUUUUGCUUUUGGAAUUGGAAAUGCGGAUGCGGCGCGGCGACAUCCAGUGCUGGAAUUUAC
This 268-nucleotide long non-coding RNA is filed under the name Prunus dulcis (almond). RNAcentral describes it as "sRNA ncRNA". Lineage: Eukaryota; Viridiplantae; Streptophyta; Magnoliopsida; Rosales; Rosaceae. The record is from RNAcentral.